UUGAAAGCUGGCGUCUUCGGCGUCCGCAUUGUAAUCUCAAGAAGUGUUUUCCGCUUCGGACCAUGCCUAAGUCCCUUGGAAAAGGGCAUCAUAGAGGGUGAUAAUCCCGUACAUGGCAUGGAGCGCCCGAAGCUUUGUGAUACGCUUUCUAAGAGUCGAGUUGUUUGGGAAUGCAGCUCAAAAUGGGUGGUAAAUGCCAUCUAAGGCUAAAUAUUGGGGAGAGACCGAUAGCGAACAAGUACAGUGAUGGAAAGAUGAAAAGAACUUUGAAAAGAGAGUUAAACAGUACGUGAAAUUGCCAAAAGGGAAGGGUAGGAGGUCAGAGAUGCGGCCUGGGAUUCAGCCUUGCUUUUGCUUGGUGUUUUUCCCAGAUUGCAGGCCAACGUCGGUUUUGGGCACUGGAGAAGGGUAGGAGGAACGUGGCACCUCUCGGGGUGUGUUAUAGCCUCCUACUGGAUACAGCGACCGAGACCGAGGACAGCAGCGUACUCGCAAGAGCGGGCCUUCGGGCACCUUUACGCUUAGGGCGUUGGCAUAAUGGCCCUCUACCACC
RNAcentral lists this ribosomal RNA (553 nucleotides) under Pseudozyma sp. DMKU-SP97. RNAcentral describes it as "LSU rRNA". It matches the Rfam family "Eukaryotic large subunit ribosomal RNA", at positions 115 to 649 of the family's 3401-position model. The record is from RNAcentral. Lineage: Eukaryota; Fungi; Basidiomycota; Ustilaginomycetes; Ustilaginales; Ustilaginaceae. RNAcentral also lists the same sequence under 2 other names.